UAUGUCUGUUUCUCUCCAGAGCUCCGGAGUGUUACUCACAGUCCGGUGCUCUAAGACAUGCCCCAAUAGUAUACAUUUGCACUAGCUUUUCCA
Molecule: long non-coding RNA, 93 nt
Organism: Sphaeramia orbicularis (orbiculate cardinalfish)
Lineage: Eukaryota; Metazoa; Chordata; Actinopteri; Kurtiformes; Apogonidae
Exons: 3
Source: RefSeq, a predicted model, not a curated record